CUACAGGGGUAUCUAAUCCUGUUUGCUCCCCUAGCUUUCGUGCAUCAGCGUCAGUUAUGGUCCAGUGAGCCGCUUUCGCCACAGGUGUUCCUUCCGAUAUCUACGCAUUUCACCGCUACACCGGAAAUUCCACUCACCUCUCCCAUACUCAAGCCCGGCAGUUUCUUAUGCAGGCUUCGGGUUGAGCCCGAAGAUUUCACAUAAGACUUGCCAAACCGCCUACGCACCCUUUACGCCCAAUAAAUCCGAACAACGCUUGCCCCCCUCGUAUUACCGCGGCUGCUGGCAC
RNAcentral lists this ribosomal RNA (289 nucleotides) under uncultured Acidobacteriota bacterium. RNAcentral describes it as "uncultured Acidobacteria bacterium partial 16S ribosomal RNA". The record is from RNAcentral. Lineage: Bacteria; Pseudomonadati; Acidobacteriota.